Molecule: ribosomal RNA, 864 nt
Filed under: Acinetobacter baumannii
Lineage: Bacteria; Pseudomonadati; Pseudomonadota; Gammaproteobacteria; Moraxellales; Moraxellaceae
Description: bacterial SSU rRNA
Rfam family: Bacterial small subunit ribosomal RNA
Source: RNAcentral
GGAAGGUAGCUUGCUACUGGACCUAGCGGCGGACGGGUGAGUAAUGCUUAGGAAUCUGCCUAUUAGUGGGGGACAACAUCUCGAAAGGGAUGCUAAUACCGCAUACGUCCUACGGGAGAAAGCAGGGGAUCUUCGGACCUUGCGCUAAUAGAUGAGCCUAAGUCGGAUUAGCUAGUUGGUGGGGUAAAGGCCUACCAAGGCGACGAUCUGUAGCGGGUCUGAGAGGAUGAUCCGCCACACUGGGACUGAGACACGGCCCAGACUCCUACGGGAGGCAGCAGUGGGGAAUAUUGGACAAUGGGGGGAACCCUGAUCCAGCCAUGCCGCGUGUGUGAAGAAGGCCUUAUGGUUGUAAAGCACUUUAAGCGAGGAGGAGGCUACUUUAGUUAAUACCUAGAGAUAGUGGACGUUACUCGCAGAAUAAGCACCGGCUAACUCUGUGCCAGCAGCCGCGGUAAUACAGAGGGUGCGAGCGUUAAUCGGAUUUACUGGGCGUAAAGCGUGCGUAGGCGGCUUAUUAAGUCGGAUGUGAAAUCCCCGAGCUUAACUUGGGAAUUGCAUUCGAUACUGGUGAGCUAGAGUAUGGGAGAGGAUGGUAGAAUUCCAGGUGUAGCGGUGAAAUGCGUAGAGAUCUGGAGGAAUACCGAUGGCGAAGGCAGCCAUCUGGCCUAAUACUGACGCUGAGGUACGAAAGCAUGGGGAGCAAACAGGAUUAGAUACCCUGGUAGUCCAUGCCGUAAACGAUGUCUACUAGCCGUUGGGGCCUUUGAGGCUUUAGUGGCGCAGCUAACGCGAUAAGUAGACCGCCUGGGGAGUACGGUCGCAAGACUAAAACUCAAAUGAAUUGACGGGGGCCCGCACAAG